RNAcentral lists this long non-coding RNA (1186 nucleotides) under Vulpes vulpes (red fox). RNAcentral's name for it is "lncRNA (ENSVVUG00000014334.1)". Lineage: Eukaryota; Metazoa; Chordata; Mammalia; Carnivora; Canidae. The record is from RNAcentral.
UUUGAGGCCACCUGCAUCAUAAAGAGUAGCUGUAGUAUUUCUAAUGACUGAUUUCAUGGUCCAAUUUUUAAAUCCAACAUGUGAGGGAGAAAACAUUAAACUCCCCAUGCCGUAGUUUCUCCAAAUGUGAAAGGAGGUGGCAAUGACACUUACCUAUAUAAUGUUAUUGUGUGGAUGAAAUGAGGUAACAUCUAUAAAAUUUAGUAUGGUGAUGAUGACUCCUUAAGAAUUCACUUAAUGUUAACUAUUUUUAGUAAGAUACAAAGAUAACCCGUUAAAAUAUGAGUUUGAAAGAAUGGCUUAGUUUAUUUAAAUUAAUAACUAAUUUUAAAAGUAGAGAACUUAAAAACCCAAAAGUUAUAAAUAAAAGGGAUAUCUACUUUAAAAGUACAUUUAUUGGCAUCACAAAGGUUUUUUUUUUUUUUUAAGAUUUUAUCUAUUUAUUCAUGAGGGACACAGAGAGAAAGGCAGAGACAUAGGCAGAGGAAGAAGCAGGCUCCCUGUGGGGGGCCCAAUGCUAGCCUCCAUCCCAGUACUCCAGGAUCCUGCCCUGAGCCAAAGGCAGACGCUCAACCACUGAGACACGUAGGUGUCCCACAAAGGUUUUACAGCAUAUUGAUUCAGCAUUUAAGAAACUGAACUGAAAAACAAAGGAUAUCUUAAAAAGUCCAACAUUCCUUGGUGAUAUCAAGUGACUGGGACUAAGGAGCAGCUGCUCAUCACAGUUAGGAUGUGUUUUUACUGUUUUCACUUGUUCCAAACCACUGCUUGCUGUUUUUGGUUUUUUUGUUUUGUUUUGUUUUUGUUUUUUUUUCCUAUUACUGAGUUUCUUCAUUUAUUUUUCAUUACUGGCCAGACCCAGUUAUUUUUUAAAUUUACCAUUUCUAGUGAAUCUAAUACUCAAGAUUCUACCAAGUUAAAGACCUGUAUGUGACCAGGAAGGGAAAAUAAACACAAAGUAUAUCCUAAAAGGAGGAGCAUGAGUACGGAAAACUUGAAGCUACCUUUAUUUUUGAAAACAGCAUCCUCAGAGCUUUUGGUUGAUCCAUAUACUCAUUCUCAAAAUAUGAGGAAUACAGAAAAAAAUCGUUGGCUGAUGAAAGCACAGAGAUAUUGUGUAUACUUUCCUGGUAUUCUUUCACUGGAUUUUCUUGCCAUUCUGGUCAGGGUCCUGAUAGUGGCAUGA